UUAAGCGACUAAGCGUACACGGUGGAUGCCCUGGCAGUCAGAGGCGAUGAAGGACGUGCUAAUCUGCGAUAAGCGCCGGUAAGGUGAUAUGAACCGUUAUAACCGGCGAUUUCCGAAUGGGGAAACCCAGUGUGACUCGUCACACUAUCAUUAACUGAAUCCAUAGGUUAAUGAGGCGAACCGGGGGAACUGAAACAUCUAAGUACCCCGAGGAAAAGAAAUCAACCGAGAUUCCCCCAGUAGCGGCGAGCGAACGGGGAGGAGCCCAGAGCCUGAAUCAGCAUGUGUGUUAGUGGAAGCGUCUGGAAAGGCGCGCGAUACAGGGUGACAGCCCCGUACACAAAAGCGCAUGUGCUGUGAGCUCGAUGAGUAGGGCGGGACACGUGGUAUCCUGUCUGAAUAUGGGGGGACCAUCCUCCAAGGCUAAAUACUCCUGACUGACCGAUAGUGAACCAGUACCGUGAGGGAAAGGCGAAAAGAACCCCGGCGAGGGGAGUGAAAAAGAACCUGAAACCGUGUACGUACAAGCAGUGGGAGCACAGGUUUACCUGUGUGACUGCGUACCUUUUGUAUAAUGGGUCAGCGACUUAUAUUCUGUAGCAAGGUUAACCGAAUAGGGGAGCCGGAGGGAAACCGAGUCUUAAUUGGGCGUUAAGUUGCAGGGUAUAGACCCGAAACCCGGUGAUCUAGCCAUGGGCAGGUUGAAGGUUGGGUAACACUAACUGGAGGACCGAACCGACUAAUGUUGAAAAAUUAGCGGAUGACCUGUGGCUGGGGGUGAAAGGCCAAUCAAACCGGGAGAUAGCUGGUUCUCCCCGAAAGCUAUUUAGGUAGCGCCUCGUGAAUUCAUCUCCGGGGGUAGAGCACUGUUUCGGCUAGGGGGCCAUCCCGGCUUACCAACCCGAUGCAAACUGCGAAUACCGGAGAAUGUUAUCACGGGAGACACACGGCGGGUGCUAACGUCCGUCGUGAAGAGGGAAACAACCCAGACCGCCAGCUAAGGUCCCAAAGUCAUGGUUAAGUGGGAAACGAUGUGGGAAGGCCCAGACAGCCAGGAUGUUGGCUUAGAAGCAGCCAUCAUUUAAAGAAAGCGUAAUAGCUCACUGGUCGAGUCGGCCUGCGCGGAAGAUGUAACGGGGCUAAACCAUGCACCGAAGCUGCGGCAGCGACACUGUGUGUUGUUGGGUAGGGGAGCGUUCUGUAAGCCUGCGAAGGUGGCCUGUGAGGGUUGCUGGAGGUAUCAGAAGUGCGAAUGCUGACAUAAGUAACGAUAAAGCGGGUGAAAAGCCCGCUCGCCGGAAGACCAAGGGUUCCUGUCCAACGUUAAUCGGGGCAGGGUGAGUCGACCCCUAAGGCGAGGCCGAAAGGCGUAGUCGAUGGGAAACGGGUUAAUAUUCCCGUACUUGGUGUUACUGCGAAGGGGGGACGGAGAAGGCUAUGUUGGCCGGGCGACGGUUGUCCCGGUUUAAGCGUGUAGGUGUGUGUUCCAGGUAAAUCCGGUUCACUUUAACACUGAGGCGUGACGACGAGGCACUACGGUGCUGAAGCAACAAAUGCCCUGCUUCCAGGAAAAGCCUCUAAGCAUCAGGUAACAUCAAAUCGUACCCCAAACCGACACAGGUGGUCAGGUAGAGAAUACCAAGGCGCUUGAGAGAACUCGGGUGAAGGAACUAGGCAAAAUGGUGCCGUAACUUCGGGAGAAGGCACGCUGACACGUAGGUGAAGUGAUUUACUCAUGGAGCUGAAGUCAGUCGAAGAUACCAGCUGGCUGCAACUGUUUAUUAAAAACACAGCACUGUGCAAACACGAAAGUGGACGUAUACGGUGUGACGCCUGCCCGGUGCCGGAAGGUUAAUUGAUGGGGUCAGCGCAAGCGAAGCUCCUGAUCGAAGCCCCGGUAAACGGCGGCCGUAACUAUAACGGUCCUAAGGUAGCGAAAUUCCUUGUCGGGUAAGUUCCGACCUGCACGAAUGGCGUAAUGAUGGCCAGGCUGUCUCCACCCGAGACUCAGUGAAAUUGAACUCGCUGUGAAGAUGCAGUGUACCCGCGGCAAGACGGAAAGACCCCGUGAACCUUUACUAUAGCUUGACACUGAACAUUGAGCCUUGAUGUGUAGGAUAGGUGGGAGGCUUUGAAGUGUGGACGCCAGUCUGCAUGGAGCCGACCUUGAAAUACCACCCUUUAAUGUUUGAUGUUCUAACGUGGACCCGUAAUCCGGGUUGCGGACAGUGUCUGGUGGGUAGUUUGACUGGGGCGGUCUCCUCCUAAAGAGUAACGGAGGAGCACGAAGGUUGGCUAAUCCUGGUCGGACAUCAGGAGGUUAGUGCAAUGGCAUAAGCCAGCUUGACUGCGAGCGUGACGGCGCGAGCAGGUGCGAAAGCAGGUCAUAGUGAUCCGGUGGUUCUGAAUGGAAGGGCCAUCGCUCAACGGAUAAAAGGUACUCCGGGGAUAACAGGCUGAUACCGCCCAAGAGUUCAUAUCGACGGCGGUGUUUGGCACCUCGAUGUCGGCUCAUCACAUCCUGGGGCUGAAGUAGGUCCCAAGGGUAUGGCUGUUCGCCAUUUAAAGUGGUACGCGAGCUGGGUUUAGAACGUCGUGAGACAGUUCGGUCCCUAUCUGCCGUGGGCGCUGGAGAACUGAGGGGGGCUGCUCCUAGUACGAGAGGACCGGAGUGGACGCAUCACUGGUGUUCGGGUUGUCAUGCCAAUGGCACUGCCCGGUAGCUAAAUGCGGAAGAGAUAAGUGCUGAAAGCAUCUAAGCACGAAACUUGCCCCGAGAUGAGUUCUCCCUGAGACUUAGAGUCUCCUGAAGGAACGUUGAAGACGACGACGUUGAUAGGCCGGGUGUGUAAGCGCAGCGAUGCGUUGAGCUAACCGGUACUAAUGAACCGUGAGGCUUAACCUU
This 2905-nucleotide ribosomal RNA is filed under the name Salmonella enterica subsp. enterica. Its description in RNAcentral is "bacterial LSU rRNA". It matches the Rfam family "Bacterial large subunit ribosomal RNA". The record is from RNAcentral. Lineage: Bacteria; Pseudomonadati; Pseudomonadota; Gammaproteobacteria; Enterobacterales; Enterobacteriaceae.